Long non-coding RNA from Amphimedon queenslandica, 776 nucleotides. RefSeq lists it as uncharacterized. The record is from RefSeq and is a predicted model, not a curated record. The transcript is spliced from 2 exons. Lineage: Eukaryota; Metazoa; Porifera; Demospongiae; Haplosclerida; Niphatidae.
UAGCAGGCGCUAGGCCUAAGUGACCCUUAUUCCAUAAAAUGAAGAACAUUUUUAAAAUUAUAAAUUUUACAGUAGAUUUCACUUCCCUUCCAACUUCGAACGGAGUAACUUUCCGUGAUCGUGAAUGAAUUCAUAGACAUACCGUACAACAAUCACGUGAUCAACUGUGUCUACGGCACCGGGGGUGUAUGCAUGACCAUAGAUUGUAUUACUAAGUAACACAAUCUUAGUAACACCAUAGGUAACACAAUCUUAGUAACACAAUCUAUGGCAUGACAGCCUCUUAAUUAAUCGCGUGGCCUUUUGGUUUUCUCGUAGAUAAUUAAUACUACGUGGUUUUCUCAAACAAGUCUCUCGGGACGUUUUUGAUUGCAUAGUUGAAACAUGAUACUUAUACUGUUAUUUAGUAUAACGUGGCUUAGAGAAGCAAGAGCUAACUUGAUAGCGGCAGCUCUUCCUCGUAGACCAGUGCAAGAGUCAGCUAGUGGAGCAGGUCGAGCUGCAGCCAUCAUCGCUGGUGAUGAUAGAAUCAUCUGGUACAAGAGUGACGAAAAUGAUCAUUACUUUUUGCUGGAGCCUGAGCAAGAAGUGGGAACGAGAUACUUUCAGAAAAAAGAAGAAAUGGUCGUGGCGAGUGAUUGCUGUAAAGUACCCAAAAAUUGUCUUGUGUGAGGCUCAGUGCCCUUAUACUUACACUUAUUUGUAUGACAUAAGUUGUUGCAACGCCGGUCCUACAGCACUUCUAACUAGUUUUAACUAUUUUUUCAUGUAUAGAC